RNAcentral lists this ribosomal RNA (253 nucleotides) under uncultured bacterium. RNAcentral describes it as "partial 16S ribosomal RNA". It matches the Rfam family "Bacterial small subunit ribosomal RNA", at positions 524 to 776 of the family's 1533-position model. The record is from RNAcentral.
UACGUAGGUGGCAAGCGUUGUCCGGAUUUACUGGGCGUAAAGAGCGCGCAGGCGGUCGAUCAAGUCGCGUGUGAAAGCCCCCGGCUCAACUGGGGAGGGUCACGCGAUACUGAUCGACUCGAAGGCAGGAGAGGGUAGUGGAAUUCCCGGUGUAGUGGUGAAAUGCGUAGAGAUCAGGCGGAACACCCGUAGCGAAGGCGGCCAGCUGGGCCGUCCCUGACACUGAGGCGCGAAGGCGUGGGGAGCGAACGGG